Molecule: ribosomal RNA, 253 nt
Filed under: uncultured bacterium
Lineage: Bacteria
Description: partial 16S ribosomal RNA
Rfam family: Bacterial small subunit ribosomal RNA
Source: RNAcentral
UACAGAGGUCCCAAGCGUUGUUCGGAAUCACUGGGCUUAAAGGGCGCGUAGGCGGGCUGUCAAGUUUGGGGUGAAAUCCCGCGGCUCAACCGUGGAACUGCCUCAAAUACUGACGGUCUCGAGGGAGGUAGGGGCGAGCGGAACUGAUGGUGGAGCGGUGAAAUGCGUUGAUAUCAUCAGGAACUCCGGUGGCGAAGGCGGCUCGCUGGACCUUUUCUGACGCUGAGGCGCGAAAGCUAGGGGAGCAAACGGG